UACAGAGGGUGCAAACGUUGUUCGGAAUUACUGGGCGUAAAGCGCGUGUAGGCGGCAUGUUAAGUCGACUGUGAAAGCCCAUAGCUCAACUAUGGAAGUGCAGUCGAUACUGGCAAGCUUGAGUUCCGGAGAGGAUGAUGGAAUUCCCAGUGUAGAGGUGAAAUUCGUAGAUAUUGGGAGGAACACCGGUGGCGAAGGCGACCAUCUGGACGGAUACUGACGCUGAGACGCGAAAGCGUGGGGAGCAAAC
RNAcentral lists this ribosomal RNA (250 nucleotides) under uncultured bacterium. RNAcentral describes it as "partial 16S ribosomal RNA". It matches the Rfam family "Bacterial small subunit ribosomal RNA", at positions 524 to 773 of the family's 1533-position model. The record is from RNAcentral.